Polypterus senegalus (gray bichir) is the source of this 541-nucleotide long non-coding RNA. RefSeq lists it as uncharacterized. Lineage: Eukaryota; Metazoa; Chordata; Cladistia; Polypteriformes; Polypteridae. The record is from RefSeq and is a predicted model, not a curated record. The transcript is spliced from 4 exons.
UAUUGUGCCUAUUUGGUAGCAGCAGCAGUGAGCCAGCAAGUCUAUGAGGGAAAACCAAACAAACUUGAAUGUCUGAGUUUGAGAGAGGUAUUGCCUAUUAUUCCAGCGUGAGCAUCUAAAAGGUGUUUGUUUGGACAAAAUAGGAAUGCCAAGAGACAAAGUAAAAUAUUGAGGUUCAAAUCCAGGAGGAGGAAGUUCCUGAAACAUGGAACAGAGAAGGACUUAGUUUCUGAGGAGCAAGGAGGAGGUGACAAUAAUAGGAAGAGGAAGAAACAGGAGGUGACCAAAGGAGGAGGAUUUGCUCACGAUAUCUUCUGCUUCUGGAUGACAUCCAUGACAUCAUGUAGCAAGGACAAUGACCUACUGCAUUACUGGCAAUGACAAUUACAUUAUUUUACUCAUUUUUCUCUACUGUGUCAUGUUUUCAGAGUUUACUCACAAUAUUGUCUGGAUCUGGAUGACAUUAAAAAUAAAGAUAAAAAAAUGUCUCCCCACAAGCUUUGCUAUAUUUACUGGCAAUUACUGAGUCAAUCAUGGCAGA